UUCCAGGUCACCCAAUUGACUGGUUUCUCAGAUCCAGUGUACGCAGAAGCAUAUGUCCAUGUCAAUCAGUAUGACAUCGUCCUGGAUGUCCUGGUUGUUAAUCAGACUAGCGACACCCUACAGAACUGUACCCUGGAGCUGGCAACACUUGGUGAUCUUAAAUUGGUUGAGAAACCAUCUCCUCUUACAUUGGCUCCUCACGACUUUGCCAACAUCAAAGCCAAUGUGAAGGUGGCCUCCACAGAGAAUGGCAUCAUAUUUGGAAACAUAGUAUACGAUGUAUCAGGAGCAGCCAGUGACAGGAACUGCGUAGUCCUCAGCGAC
This is a long non-coding RNA of Sinocyclocheilus rhinocerous, 324 nucleotides long. RefSeq lists it as uncharacterized. The transcript has 3 exons. NCBI's taxonomy places the organism in Eukaryota, Metazoa, Chordata, Actinopteri, Cypriniformes, Cyprinidae. The record is from RefSeq and is a predicted model, not a curated record.